RNAcentral lists this long non-coding RNA (830 nucleotides) under Mus musculus (house mouse). RNAcentral describes it as "long non-coding RNA chr11:11312432-11313262". The record is from RNAcentral. Lineage: Eukaryota; Metazoa; Chordata; Mammalia; Rodentia; Muridae.
AUGGUGGUGCAGGUGCUUCAUCUUGAAUCUGAUCCUUUCCUAGUUUGUCUCAACCAUGCUCUGAGCACAGAGAAGAAGGAGGUCAUAGGUCUAUGUAUAGGGGAGUUGAAUGAAGUCAUAAGGAGUGACUCCAAAUUUACAUACACUGGAACUGAAAUGUGCAUAGUUCUAGAAAAGAUGGAUACCACCAGAAUUGUUCAUGUCCAUUCUGUCAUUAUCUUGCAGCAUUCUGAAAAGAGAAAAGACCAUGUAGAAAUUUCUCCAGAGCAGUUGUCUGCAGCCUCAACAGAGGCAGAAAGGUUGGCUGAAUUAACAUGAGAGUUGUUGGCUGGUACCAUUCCCACACUCAUAUAACAGUUUGGCCUUCACCUGUUGAUGUUCAUAUACAAGCCAUGCACCAAAUGGUGGAUUGAGGCUUUGUAGGACUUAUUUUUUCCUGUUUCAUAGAAGACAAAAACAGAAAGACUGGUUGGGUACUCUAUACUUGCUUCCAAUCCAUACAAGCCCAAAAACUCAGAUUAUGAAAGAAAUUAAAUUCUAAUCCAUAUUGUACCUCAUAUAACUAUUGGGAAAGUAUGCCUUGAAUUUGUGGCCUAAACAUCCUGUGGCAGGAAGAACAGGAUGCAUAUAGAAGGAUUCACAGCCUUACAAUGUGGACUCGGUGACCAAUAAUGGCUCAGUAUUUACCAAGAAUUUGUGCAGUCAGAUAUCCACAAUCAGUGGGCCUCUACUUGCAGUGAUUGGAGGACAGAUUGGAACAAAACCAACAGCAUUUGUAGGAGUUGCAACAAGAAAAGGAAGAGUUUAUGAAAGAGCUGUCUUCCCUAGAA